Amblyraja radiata (thorny skate) is the source of this 445-nucleotide long non-coding RNA. RefSeq lists it as uncharacterized. The record is from RefSeq and is a predicted model, not a curated record. Lineage: Eukaryota; Metazoa; Chordata; Chondrichthyes; Rajiformes; Rajidae. The transcript is spliced from 3 exons.
UUUACUUUCCCAUCGUGUGAAGACGCUGAUGCUUUGUUCUGUUUCGUGCCAAUCUGUGCAGAGCCUCUUGCCAGAUUUCUAAUGACUUUUCAAUGAUGAUUUAAGGAGGAUUUGAGACGCUUUUCUUGGAUCGUGAAUGCGCCGAUCAGCCGCUGCUCAGCAUCUUUUAUUAAAUGAGUUUCUUGAAGAAACAUUAUAUCAGCUUUGAGUGAUUUUAAGUGUGCUAAUACUUUACCUCUCUUGAUUGAUUCAUUAAUACCCUUGACGUUCCAACUACAAAAUGUAAUUCCUUCACCCCCAAUUUUCAUAUUAACAUCUUGCAUCUUAUGGGUAGGGUGGUCUAUAAAAGAGCAAAUGGUUCAACACACUAAACCCGACAUUCCACCCGAACACAGGAUAGAUGAAUUUUAGAUUUAAUAAGUCUUCAUCCCGAACAUAUCUCCUU